CUGCUCAGGCAGCUCGCCACCGUCCAUCGGCGACGCCGCCUUCAUGCCUCGGCAAUGCGCCGCCGCGUUUGGGUCUUCGGUAAGAACUGCGUUGUUUUUGCGCAUACUGCGGGUCUUCGCAGAGUGUAGAGGCUAGACCACCUGUCCAGUCAGCUUGUUCGGCGAGUGGCUGGGUACGUAGCUGGGUGAAAAUGCUGCCUGUGCACAUGGUUGAAAGCACAAGCAAGGCAUUACAUAUGCAUGCUUAUACAUUACAUGCAUUAUAAAUUAUUAAGAUAUAAGGUUACAGACUUGCAAAUCACUGAUCGUCUUGGUUCAAUUAGUAAUUACGGUUGGUACUACUGUGAAGCUGAACCAAUUUUGCAGCCAAGUCUGAUAAAUUGAAGAAAUUUAAAAGGUGAAAUCUUCAACAUGCACUUACACUAGUCGUCUUUUUUUUUUCUCCUCUCUAAGCAACAUGCUAUUGUCAGCCUUUCCACUAUAAUACUAUUAGUGGUUGCUUUUCACUGGUGUUUUUGGUGUGGAAGAGUAAGCCUCUUUUUUUUUUUGUUGCAUUGUGUAUUGCAGUUCUUACCAUGUCACCCAAGAAGUGGAGUAAUUACUGUUUAAGAAGAAACAUACUGAGAUGCAUAUAUACAUUGAUUCACAUUGUUGAAUGUAAUUUCUGGUUGCGCAAUAAAAGUGCAUCUUUUUCAUAAAAGAA
Molecule: non-coding RNA, 703 nt
Organism: Dermacentor andersoni
Lineage: Eukaryota; Metazoa; Arthropoda; Arachnida; Ixodida; Ixodidae
Source: RefSeq, a predicted model, not a curated record